AGAGAGAGACAUGCGCGCAUAUCAAUAAGCGGAGGAAAAGAAACUAACUAGGAUUCCCUCAGUAACGGCGAGUGAAGCGGGAAGAGCUCAAAUUUGAAAUCUUCAAGGUUCUACCUUGACGAAUUGUAGUUUAAAGAAGUGUUUUCUGUUGGAGUUUUGGUAAAAGUUCUUUGGAAUAGGACAUCAUAGAGGGUGAGAAUCCCGUAUUUGACCAUUACUUUCCAACUUUGUGAUACACUUUCAAAGAGUCGGAUUGUUUGGGAAUGCAGUCCAAAAUGGGUGGUAAAUUUCAUCUAAAGCUAAAUAUUGGCGAGAGACCGAUAGCGAACAAGUACCGUGAGGGAAAGAUGAAAAGAACUUUGAAAAGAGAGUUAAACAGUACGUGAAAUUGUCAAAAGGGAAGCGUUUGACACCAGUGUUGUUUUCUCGAAAAUCAAUUAAAAAAGGCAGGAUUUUGUGUUGUAUUGACUUUAUCAGCUUUCUGCACUCUUUUCUUGUCUUUUUUUAAUGCACUUUUCGUUUAACAAGUCAACAUCAAUUUCUUUUGUUGUAAAAGGGUCAUUGGAAGGUGGCUUUCUUUUCGGAGAAAGUGUUUAUAGCCUUUGGCCUCUGCAAUCGGAGAGAUUGAGGUCUGCAGCGUAGAUCCUUCGGGGUUAGAUACAUUUGUGCUAAGUUAUAGCCUUUCAUAGACAACUUGUUGACUAUGAUCAGUCAUGUAGCUUACUCGCUUAUGCUAUUUUACCUACGCUUAGGAUGUUGAUGUGAUACUGCGAGCA
RNAcentral lists this ribosomal RNA (776 nucleotides) under uncultured Neocallimastigales. Its description in RNAcentral is "partial large subunit ribosomal RNA". It matches the Rfam family "Eukaryotic large subunit ribosomal RNA", at positions 23 to 646 of the family's 3401-position model. The record is from RNAcentral. Lineage: Eukaryota; Fungi; Neocallimastigomycota; Neocallimastigomycetes; Neocallimastigales.